GGAAUCUGCCUGGUAGUGGGGGAUAACGUCCGGAAACGGGCGCUAAUACCGCAUACGUCCUGAGGGAGAAAGUGGGGGAUCUUCGGACCUCACGCUAUCAGAUGAGCCUAGGUCGGAUUAGCUAGUUGGUGGGGUAAAGGCCUACCAAGGCGACGAUCCGUAACUGGUCUGAGAGGAUGAUCAGUCACACUGGAACUGAGACACGGUCCAGACUCCUACGGGAGGCAGCAGUNGGGAAUAUUGGACAAUGGGCGAAAGCCUGAUCCAGCCAUGCCGCGUGUGUGAAGAAGGUCUUCGGAUUGUAAAGCACUUUAAGUUGGGAGGAAGGGCAGUAAGUUAAUACCUUGCUGUUUUGACGUUACCAACAGAAUAAGCACCGGCUAACUUCGUGCCAGCAGCCGCGGUAAUACGAAGGGUGCAAGCGUUAAUCGGAAUUACUGGGCGUAAAGCGCGCGUAGGUGGUUCAGCAAGUUGGAUGUGAAAUCCCCGGGCUCAACCUGGGAACUGCAUCCAAAACUACUGAGCUAGAGUACGGUAGAGGGUGGUGGAAUUUCCUGUGUAGCGGUGAAAUGCGUAGAUAUAGGAAGGAACACCAGUGGCGAAGGCGACCACCUGGACUGAUACUGACACUGAGGCGCGAAAGCGUGGGGAGCAAACAGGAUUAGAUACCCUGGUAGUCCACGCCGUAAACGAUGUCGACUAGCCGUUGGGAUCCUUGA
Molecule: ribosomal RNA, 719 nt
Filed under: uncultured Pseudomonas sp.
Lineage: Bacteria; Pseudomonadati; Pseudomonadota; Gammaproteobacteria; Pseudomonadales; Pseudomonadaceae
Description: bacterial SSU rRNA
Rfam family: Bacterial small subunit ribosomal RNA
Source: RNAcentral